Rhagoletis pomonella (apple maggot) is the source of this 1266-nucleotide RNA transcript. It is a transcript of the gene named COP9 signalosome complex subunit 7, with no coding region annotated. NCBI's taxonomy places the organism in Eukaryota, Metazoa, Arthropoda, Insecta, Diptera, Tephritidae. The transcript has 5 exons. The record is from RefSeq and is a predicted model, not a curated record.
CAUAAAUCUCAGCUGUUCGUGUACGUUUUGUACAUUUCAUUGGUUUGUGCUACAAAAUUUGUGAAAUAUAUCUGAAAAUUAAAGUUGUGCUAAGUAUUUAAAUUACAAAACAUAAAAAAAUGACUCAAGAUAUACUAAUGAGUAACGACGAGCCAAUGGCCACCAAUGAUGCUUCACGCAACCAGCUGAAUCAGCAUUGUACAGCUGCAAAGUCUGCGCAAGGUGCACAGCUACUGGAUGUGGUGCGCCAAGUAUUGGAAGCACCGUCAAUUUAUGUAUUUGGCGAACUGCUCGCAUUACCCAACGUGCAGGAGCUCAAAGAUGGGCCGCAUAUUAAAUACUAUAACACAUUGAAUCUUUUUGCUUACGGUACAUAUAAGCAAUACCGCCAACAACCUAGUGAAUAUUUGGAAUUGACCGCUACAAUGCAGAAAAAGCUGCAACAUUUGACCAUCGUUUCUCUAGCUAUUAAAAACAAAUGCAUCCCGUAUGAGGUACUGUUGGAGGAGUUGGAAAUCAAUAAUGUACGUCACUUGGAAGAUGUUAUCAUUGAAGCCAUUUAUGCCGAUAUUAUACAUGGCAAACUUUUCCAAAACAAUCGUUUUCUGGAAAUUGAUUAUGCGCAAGGACGCGACAUUCCCCCUGGCUAUACCAGCAAAAUCGCUCAAACUCUGCAACAGUGGGUGGAUUCGUGUAACACCAUUUCCAAUUGCAUUGAUGUGCAAAUAACGCGUGCCAACUUUGAGAAGGCUAAGAGCUUGAAAAACAAGGAGCAUAUUGAACAAGAGAUAAUUAAUUUGAAGAAAGUUUUGAAGACCCAAAUCACCGAAAACGAUGAUGCCAUGCAAGUCGAUACCCGCGAGUCAUCCAGCAUGGAUGUCCGCAGGAAGCCGUUCAAGACGAAAAGUUCACGUCUCCAUCAUGCCCCAGUGGGUAAGUUGACAGGCGUGGCCUCGUCCUCCGCGGACGUUGCCAGCAAUGUGGCCAGUGGAAGUGGUGGUUCUUUAGGCGGAGGAGCCAUCGGUGGCGUCACAAGUGUUACUAUGGCAGCGGCAAACACCACCACAUCGUGGCUAAAAUCAUUCACGCAGUCUUUCGAGAAGGAAUAGGUGGUGGCUAGCAGCAAAUGAGGAGGGAAGCAGAGGCUACUUGCCUAUGCCGUCAAAAUCAAACACGCAGCUGUACGGAGCCAAUCAUCGUCCGUUCCCAGCGAAAAAGCCUGAAGUUCCAUCUGGUAGCAUGAACUAUUUGAAUUAACGACCAACU